RNA transcript from Chelonia mydas (Green sea turtle), 3521 nucleotides. It is a transcript of the gene named protein O-linked mannose N-acetylglucosaminyltransferase 2 (beta 1,4-), with no coding region annotated. The record is from RefSeq and is a predicted model, not a curated record. The transcript is spliced from 4 exons. NCBI's taxonomy places the organism in Eukaryota, Metazoa, Chordata, Testudines, Cheloniidae.
UCUGAGAGCGGUGCUGGGCGCUCCGGGACUGGACAUAAAAAGAGAGCAAGCGCAGGGCUGGGCGCGCUUGCCGCUGCCCUUUUAACCCACUUUGCGAGAGCGGCUAGCCGGGCCUGAGGAGCUCGUGCUCGCUGCGGCGCGCGCCUGGGGGUGGGGGGUGAAGUUGUGAGGUUCCACGGGUGGGCGGAGACAGAACGCGGAGACCCUGCUGAAGCGGCGGCACGAGGGGGAGGAGCCCGGGCAGGGAGCUGCGGCUGCUGCAGUGUCCUAGGACCAGCCGCGGCGUCGGCGGCAGGUAGUGGCAUGUGCUGGAGGGAUCUGCAGUGUGGUUGACAUUCUGUGGUGCUUCCUCUUGAUUUUCUUCACGACAGGAGAGGAGCGAAUUUUCUGGGAAGCGUAUGUUACCCAAACUAGUUACCAGAAUUUAUACCUGGUUGGAGAUGGAGACCUGUGAAUGAAGCAUGUCUAGCGGGGCCUUUCCAUAAAGAAGAGCAAUGCAGUCAUCUUUUGCUCAACAUGAUUGGGAAAACAGUCGCUGCAGUGGAGAGCUCUCUGAAGAACCUGAGAGGAUUUGAAGCAGUUGCACAAGUCACUUUUGGAUUUUUGAAAAUGACUGGGAGCAGAGGGGAAGAAUGGAAAAGAAGCAAACACUAAUAUGAAACAUACCCACAAAUGUUGAAAAUGAACAAUUUUUUUCAUUUUGAACAAAAGCAAUUUUAAAUGAAAAUUUUCAUCCAAAAAAUGUUGACCUGCUCUGCAAAUGAGCUUUAAUCACUUCAUUCUCUACAUUUCUACAGGUAAUAUGAGACUAGGAAGGAGUGGGGGGGGGCGGGGUGUGUGUGUGCGCGCACACACACACACCCCCUCUCUCCCUUUUGAAGUAUGUACAUUGGGGUGACCUGUACUCCAGUAGCCGUUAGUCCCUACAAAAUACCAUAUAUCUGCAUAUAAACUGACACAUAGGCCAGAAUUUCAGGCCUACUCUUUGGAAGUUGUCUUAUUCAUGGAUUGGAGAGGGGCCCUGAAUAGGGGUAUGCACUAGCAAGAGCUUUUUGAGGGUGCCUUACAAUCAAACUGGAGAAAUAAAUGCCACUGGCACUAUGGAGCAGCUAGUCUGGUCAGAGUUGUAAAACAAAGUGUUUGUUUAUAAACUCCAUCCUUUCAACCCAAGCCAGACCAAAAGUAAUGGCAAUGUCCCCAAUCAAUAGUCAGGGCCAUCCUAAGAGGUACCUUUCCUCACCAAGCAAUUUCAAGCAAAAGCCUGACUAUCCAAAUGGGAUUUGCAGUGUUUACAAAACUUAAACUGGGGCUUUGGCCGCACAGGUGGUAGCCAAAUUGGGGGUGUGUGUAAUUUUAUGUCAAAAUUUUGACUAGCUUUAUUUAUUGGACCAAAGGGGAAAGCAAAUUUCAGACUGGGAAUCUCUCCCCUGAAGGGGCCAUGCUGCUUGCUCCCAGGCAUUGAAAAUCGGGGAGCUGUAAAUAUGAUGUGUGGGGAAUUUGCAUAAGCUGGCAUGCAAAUUAACAAGAUGGUGACCGUACUGGUAUUAGAAAGCAGAGCUCCACAGUCAUGGCACAAAGCUGCUGAAAUAGCAAGAUCCUUCUGCACCCUGGAGAACAUCCAUCAAACUAUUCUUGUGGGAGGAAAUUAAUGGAGAUAACCCCUAGAUUUUUUUUAAAAAGUUAAAAGGUAAAUUCUUAUUGCAAGAUUAGGUAGAGGUUGAUCAGCAUGACUCUAGCAGUUACUGGGUUAAAGUAUCUAUGAUGUUAGUGAAUUGUGCCAGAACAUCUCACUUCAGUAAGAAAGAUUCAAGUUCACAUUUUUUGAUACUUCCAUUUGCAUAUUCUGACACUUUAAAAUGCUCUUAUUACCGUGUUACCAGACACACACGAUGACUGUCAAAGAGGAACUACACAAAUACUGCAAAAAUUAAUGAAGAGGAACUGUUUUAAGGAUCUCCAAAGCAGCAACUGAAUACAUGAGAAGAAUUGAAAGGGACCUUAUGUCAGUAGCUAAUUGGCAUAGUUGAGGUACACACACUCUCCACAGCAUGCCCGCUCCCUAUACCAAGGUGGGAAUGCAGCGGCUGAAUACAGGAGCCAGCUCCAUCACCUACAGCAGCUUUAUGCUAGCAGGGAACUCACUUCCACAAGCAGAAUGAUGCAAAAAGGCCAGAACAGACUGGAGAAUCCAGCUCUGUCACUCUCGAGGCAAUGAUAUCUGGUUGCAACUGGGUCCUUUGAGUCGGGAGCCCAGGUUCUGCCCCUGAGUCUCGCACUCACUGACUUCUGUCAUCUUGAACACACCACAAAGGCAUACAUUUUCAAAAGUUUUCACGAAUUUUAUUGUUGACACCCAAUUUGAGCCACUUACUGCCUGAUUUUUUGGAGAUGCUCAAAACCCCCAACCCCAGCUAAUGUCAACUAGAACAGCUGGUGCUCCGCACCCUUGAAAAUUGGGCUUUGGGGUCUCGAGCUGGGCAAGCAAAUAUAGGGGACAGUUUUAAAAAAAGAAAAAGGGAAAAAAAAAAAAGUGUGUGUGUAUAUGUGUAUAUAAUAUGGCCCAAACCUGCUUGCUGUGUUUUAUGAGUGGACCCCCUGGACCUGUGCACAGUCCUAUUGAAUUCAGUUGGGAUCUGCAGGUUCAGGGCCGGAGAGCUUAACCUGUCUGCUUGAAUUUAUCCCACUUGUGAAAUGGGGAGAAUGACACAUUCCCAGCUUUAUAAAGCCUUUUGAUAUCUUCAAAUGAGAGACUCUAUAUAAACACAAUUAUUUAAUUUAUAACAAACAUGAGGAUUUUGAAGGAUUUUUAAAUUACUGUUAACACUCAGCUGUUGAGCUAUAUAAAUAGCAGGUUUUAUUUCUAAAAUAUUUUUGCUUCUGGUAGGUUUGUGCAUUGUGAGAUUUUAUAAGUUUAUGGGAUAAAAGAACAUUUAAUUUUUCCCUGGUGGAUCUGGGAUAGAAGCACUCUUGGAAAUACUUUCAAUGUAAUGACUGAUAAUCCAUCUGGGCUGUGGGUGGUAUGAAAAGCAUUGCCAGCUCUGUGUGUAUCAGGCAUCCUUAUGUCAGUGAGAUAAGUCACCUCCUCCAAAAUGUCUUGUAAUGGAGUUUGGGCUAGAUUCUCAGCAGGGGCAAAUUAGUGUGGCUCUAUUCAAGUCAAUUAAUCUAUGCAAAUUUAUACCAGCUGAGCAUCUGGCCCUUUGUCUUUACCAUCUUCAGUUGUCUCUACCAGAAGUGCUUACUACUAAAUUAAUUAUUGCACAUUCAAAAGCCAGAUAAAUUGAGUAGUCUGUUUUCUGUCAUUUUUAAAUUUGUUGCUUUUCAGUAUAAUUGAAUAUCCCCUUGUCCUUGCAUUAUCUGAAUAGAUAACUAGAAGUGUUGGAUUUCCCCUCUCUUUAACAUUCAUUAUUGUAUCUCCUCCUCUUUUUCACCUUUCUGAAGGACAGUCCCACUUGUUUCAGUCUCUUCAUAUGGCCUGUGAUGGGAUGUUAAAUGGGGUGGGAUCUGAGUUACCCAGGAAAGAA